Molecule: long non-coding RNA, 3065 nt
Filed under: Canis lupus familiaris (dog)
Lineage: Eukaryota; Metazoa; Chordata; Mammalia; Carnivora; Canidae
Description: lncRNA (ENSCAFG00040004144.1)
Source: RNAcentral
GGUCAGCUGAUCCCCACCUCCCUGUGGGCACCAGAUACACCUAUCACUUUUCCACCAACACCAGUACUGGCCUGCAGGGGGACCCAGUGGAGAGGGGUGGCCUUGGCCUCCAAGGCUUGGUCAUGGUCGAUGUGCUUGGCCCGUGCCAGAUGGCCUUAUGGCUCCAAGACUUCCAGGCGACAUCCAUCCUGGGGCCCAAGGUGGCAGCUCUGAAGGAGUCGGAGAACUUAAGUGCCAUCCUGAGCCGCAGCCCGCUGCCCUUUGUCCUGCGGGCCGGGCGCGUGGCCCACCUGUGUCCCCGCCGCGCAGAGCCCCGCUGGGCGCUGAAUGUGAAGCGUGGGGUGCUGAGCCUCCUGCAGGGUCUCCCUGGAGCCAGUGACCCCCAGAUCCUUGAGGAGGUGGACGUCCUGGGCAGGUGUCCCACCACGUACCGGCCACAGGGUGACCAGCUGCGCAAGACCAAGGACCUGGCGCGCUGCUCCCUUCGCCAAGUGCGCUCCUCCCUGCGUGCCCAGGCCCUGCCCGGGGAGGAGGCCGGCCUGGCCUCCCGCCUGACCUGCCUCCAGAGUUUCCAGGCUGGCGUGCUGAGGGAGGCCUCCUGCACGGAGCUGCACACCCUGGGGCCCCUCUCUGAGAAGGCAAGUGCUGUGCAGAUGCGGACGCUUUCCUCGCUCACCCUGCUGCGUGAGAUGUCCCUGGAUCCAGCUGUCACAGCGCUUCCCAUAUCAGAUCCAGACGAUGGAGAUAUGACUCCAAGCAGCCUGUUGUACGAAUGGGAGGAAACACAGUCUCAGGCUACAGUAGUCACAGCGGCCACAUUGGUGAGGAUGCUGUGCCUGGCUCAGACCACGAGUUUUGAGGCUGCAGAACUGUUCCUGACACUGGUGUCUGAGCUCCAGGGCCUCUCCCCAGAUGAGCUGUUGGCCCUGUGGCGACAAUCUUCCUUUAAAUGCCGGGACAACUGGUAAGGACCUUCCUGCAGGGACAUGGGAGGUGGGGAGGGGACCAGGAGCUGGUUGGCGGUCCUGGUGGGGCUGGGUGGUCUUGACAGUGUCCCAGGUCCCCACUGAGGGGUGGAUGGUGAUAUCGCAUCUCCUCUCAUCCCUGGGAUAUUGACUUGUCUUUCAGUCUGGGGAUGGCUGCCAAGAAGGUGAUUAAGCGGGGAGCUCGGAGGUUCCCACGGACCGAGCCCUCUUGGGACUAAAGCUGAAAGGCCCCGCAGUAUAAAUACAGGCAUUGUUCCCUCCCUGACUGGGACCCUCUUGCGGAGAGCUGGAAUUAGCAUUCCAAUGUGCCUUGGGUACCCCUCUAACCAUAGGUGGGGGUGUCGGCCAGGCUGGGAUCCCACCACCUGGAUGCUGCUGAUGUGGGGCCAGCAAGGGGGGGUGUAUAUAGAGACCCCGGGGUCCACCGGGGAGCCGGGGGGUUAGGGGGUGUCUCCAAGGAGCUUCGUGAGCUCAGGGCUGUGCAGAGGGGAAGCUUGCGGUUCCUUCCCAAAAUCUAGCCGCUCUUCAGGACCCUGAGAGAUCCGGAGGCGUGACUUUCUCAAAGGCUCCUGAAAAGGUCUCCAAAAAGUUAUCAGCUCCAAAAUACGAAAGGAAAAAAAAAAAAAAAAAAAAAAGGAGUGCAAAAUCAGCAUUACCAAAUGUCUAAUUGACUGACUGCAAAACCUAAUGGCUAAGAUGCUUCAUCAUCUUCUGAAACCCUCUCUUUUACUUUUAUUUUUUAAAGACUGAUUAUUAGAGAGAGACAGACAGACAGUGCAUGGGGAGGGGGAGGGGCAGAGGGCGAGAACCUCAAGCAGGUUCCACGCUGAGCAUGGAGCCCGACAUGGGACUUGAUCUCACAACCCUGAGAUCAGGACCUGAGCUGAAAUCAGAAGUCAGAUGCUUAACCGACUGAGCCACCCAGGCGCCCCUGUAUUCCCCGGUUUAACCCCCACAAGGACCUCGUGGGGUAGGUGGCUUUAUCAUGUUCCUACUUUACAUUUGUGGCAGGAAGUCAAAGCACAGAGCAGUUAGGAAACUGGCCCAAAGUCACACAGCAGAGUUGGGAUUUGAACCCCAGUGGUCUCUGCUUCUCCAUCCAGUACCUCUGGGCUUAAAUAUGUGAUGUUUGACUUAGGCACAGUUUAAUUAUGUCUCCUGUAGAAAAGGGCCUGGAGUCUUCAGAGGGAAUUGCCUGUUUCCCGGGGACAUACCCCACCUGCUACCCUAAGCUUUCCUACAAGCCCGUGUCUCCGCUGUCCAAAUAGAUGUUGGGAGUCAGGGAGGUGGGGAGGCUCAUCCCAAGCCCAGGACUUUCUGAGAAGACACAUGCUCUUCGAGUUCUCUUGCCCCUGCUGCCGCCUCUGCUUCUGGCCAGACCGAGGUCCCCAGGGCCCAAAACUAUAGGGAAAAGAGGAGGUGCGAGGGUGAGGGGUGGAAAGAACGGGUAGGAUGCUGCUGAGAGGAAGUGACCUCUGUGUUUCCAAGGACUCUCGGGCAUGUUGGGGGUGAGGGGGCUUGUACAUCGGCAUUCCCAUUCCCCAGAUGAGCAAGCUGAGGCCAGAGACUGUUUAUGGGCAGAGGGUGUGUAUGUGGGUCGGGGUGGGGGUCUGACCAUCUGCAGUCACGGGUAUCCCUCACCAGGGUGGGGGUGGCCCCGUGCACCCACAGCUGUGCACCCUGCUGGUUCAUGGCGCCUCUCGUUUCUGCUGUGACCCGGGAACCCACCUCCCGUUCGGUUCUGUCCCCACUCAGAGCUACUGUUGUAUAAAGGUUGAGAAUGUCUUCUGAGCUUCUGAACCUUUCUGGAAUCUUGAAAAAGAAAAGAAAAGCAGAGGCCUGAUGUUGACCUGGGGCUGAGGGCACAAGCAGCAACCUGCCAGUGGGUGGUUCUGGUUCGGUGCCGGGGUCCUUGCCCCUCCUUCAUGACCGUGGCAGGUUUUAGCAGAACAGUGGACAGGGCUCGUGUUGCCCGAAGCUGCGGGUUUCCUGGGCGGGCGGACCUGGCAGGGUUUGGACUGGGCUGCCGUUGUCCCCGUGGACCCUAAAAGCCAGGCUGCCCGGGUCCCAGGCCCAGCC